This 429-nucleotide ribosomal RNA is filed under the name uncultured bacterium. Its description in RNAcentral is "bacterial SSU rRNA". It matches the Rfam family "Bacterial small subunit ribosomal RNA", at positions 355 to 775 of the family's 1533-position model. The record is from RNAcentral.
UGGGGAAUUGUUCGCAAUGGGCGCAAGCCUGACGACGCAACGCCGCGUGGAGGAUGAAGACCUUCGGGUCGUAAACUCCUUUCGACCGAGAUGAAUUCCCAUCGACCUAACACGUCGAUGGGGUGACAGUAUCGAGGGAAGAAGCCCCGGCUAACUCCGUGCCAGCAGCCGCGGUAAUACGGGGGGGGCAAGCGUUGUUCGGAAUUACUGGGCGUAAAGGGUUUGUAGGUGGUCUGCUAAGUCAGACGUGAAAUCCCUCAGCUUAACUGGGGAACUGCGUCUGAUACUGGCGGACUGGAGGACAGGAGAGGAACGCGGAAUUCCAGGUGUAGCGGUGAAAUGCGUAGAUAUCUGGAGGAACACCGGUGGCGAAGGCGGCGUUCUGGACUGUUUCUGACACUGUAAAACGAAAGCCAGGGGAGCAAACGG